GGUGCAAAGGCGAUAUUGACGUGCCUCAAUUUGAAGACAUUGUUAGAGGAAUUCUAGCUCUGUGCUCUGAUUGAGCCGCGUCAAUAUCCCCUUCUCUUUUUCUUUUGCCUUUGCCU
RNAcentral lists this microRNA precursor (116 nucleotides) under Picea abies (Norway spruce). The record is from RNAcentral. Lineage: Eukaryota; Viridiplantae; Streptophyta; Pinopsida; Pinales; Pinaceae.